UGGGGAAUUUUGGACAAUGGGGGAAACCCUGAUCCAGCCAUCCCGCGUGUGCGAUGAAGGCCUUCGGGUUGUAAAGCACUUUUGGCAGGAAAGAAACGUCAUGGGUUAAUACCCCGUGAAACUGACGGUACCUGCAGAAUAAGCACCGGCUAACUACGUGCCAGCAGCCGCGGUAAUACGUAGGGUGCAAGCGUUAAUCGGAAUUACUGGGCGUAAAGCGUGCGCAGGCGGUUCGGAAAGAAAGAUGUGAAAUCCCAGAGCUCAACUUUGGAACUGCAUUUUUAACUACCGGGCUGGAGUGUGUCAGCGGGAGGUGGAAUUCCGCGUGUAGCAGUGAAAUGCGUAGAUAUGCGGAGGAACACCGAUGGCGAAGGCAGCCUCCUGGGAUAACACUGACGCUAAUGCACGAAAGCGUGGGGAGCAAACAGG
Molecule: ribosomal RNA, 429 nt
Filed under: Acidobacteriota bacterium
Lineage: Bacteria; Pseudomonadati; Acidobacteriota
Description: Acidobacteria bacterium partial 16S ribosomal RNA
Rfam family: Bacterial small subunit ribosomal RNA
Source: RNAcentral